GGGGAUUUAGCUCAGUGGUAGAGCGCUUGCCUAGCAAGCACAAGGCCCUGGGUUCGGUCUCCAGCUCCG
This is a non-coding RNA of Rattus norvegicus (Norway rat), 69 nucleotides long. NCBI's taxonomy places the organism in Eukaryota, Metazoa, Chordata, Mammalia, Rodentia, Muridae. The record is from Rfam.